AGAAACAUGGAACAUAUUACACAACCAAAAUAAAAUAAAACCAUUGCAGGUUUAUUGCUUUUAAUGUCAACAUAGAUUUACCAUGUUCUUUGUCAUAGUUAAAAAUCUCUGGCCAUUUACAUAUAUUUUCAAUGGGAUUUGAGUUGAAAGUUUAUGCUUUGGUGGAACACCUAAAUUCUAUUCAGUAAAUUUAUGUGAUUGUCCCUUGCAAAUAAAACACUAACCAUGCCAAUGGGCUUUAUAUUGUGAAUUAGCUCCACUUAAAAUUGAUCAUGUGUCAGUAUUAAAGAUAUGCAAAAUCAUUACAUUCACCAAUGUUUGUUGGUUCAUCGGCUGUAUAUGUGUUUAUAGAAUAACACGACAGAAAUUGGUGCAAAGCAACAUGUCUUUCCACAUUAUCUUAGAGGUGAAAUUACUUUUACUUCACUUCUUCAUAAUGUGUACUAUAAGUGAAACACCACACAUUUUAAGUGACAUGAAAUUUAGAAUUUUUAAUCUCAUAUUCUCUAAAGCAUUAAUUGUGACUUUUCAAUGUUGCAAGAUAAGGGAUUUUUUGUGGUCGUGGGUAGACUUUUUAUACUUUGUUUUAUAGAUGGAUUUUUUUAAAACAAAAUUGUAGUUUAAGUCACCAGGCAGCA
This is a long non-coding RNA of Dipodomys spectabilis (banner-tailed kangaroo rat), 638 nucleotides long. RefSeq lists it as uncharacterized. The record is from RefSeq and is a predicted model, not a curated record. NCBI's taxonomy places the organism in Eukaryota, Metazoa, Chordata, Mammalia, Rodentia, Heteromyidae. The transcript has 3 exons.